GUAGGUGGCAAGCGUUGUCCGGGAAUUAUUGGGGCGUAAAGCGCGCGCAGGCGGUCCUUUAAGGUCUGAUGUGAGAGCCCACGGGCUCAACCGUGGAGGGUCAUUGGAAACUGGGGGACUUGAGUACAGAAGAGGAAAGCGGAAUUCCAAGUGUAGCGGUGAAAUGCGUAGAGAUUUGGAGGAACACCAGUGGCGAAGGCGGCUUUCUGGUCUGUAACUGACGCUGAGGCGCGAAAGCGUGGGGAGCAAACAGGAUUAGAUACCCUGGUAGUCCACGCCGUAAACGAUGAGUGCUAAGUGUUAGGGGGUUUCCGCCCCUUAGUGCUGCAGCUAACGCAUUAAGCACUCCGCCUGGGGAGUACGGCCGCAAAGGCUGA
RNAcentral lists this ribosomal RNA (377 nucleotides) under uncultured organism. Its description in RNAcentral is "partial 16S ribosomal RNA". It matches the Rfam family "Bacterial small subunit ribosomal RNA", at positions 527 to 897 of the family's 1533-position model. The record is from RNAcentral.